RNAcentral lists this ribosomal RNA (324 nucleotides) under uncultured bacterium. Its description in RNAcentral is "bacterial SSU rRNA". It matches the Rfam family "Bacterial small subunit ribosomal RNA", at positions 30 to 334 of the family's 1533-position model. The record is from RNAcentral.
AUUGAACGCUGGCGGCAGGCCUAACACAUGCAAGUCGAACGGAGUGCUCAUGACGGAGGAUUCGUCCAACGGAUUGAGUUACUUAGUGGCGGACGGGUGAGUAACGCGUGAGGAACCUGCCUCAAAGAGGGGGACAACAGUUGGAAACGACUGCUAAUACCGCAUAAGCGCACAGUGCUGCAUGGCACAGUGUGAAAAACUCCGGUGGUAUGAGAUGGACCCGCGUCUGAUUAGCUAGUUGGUGGGGUAACGGCCUACCAAGGCGACGAUCAGUAGCCGGCCUGAGAGGGUGAACGGCCACAUUGGGACUGAGACACGGCCCAA